This 130-nucleotide non-coding RNA is filed under the name Luteimonas sp. FCS-9. RNAcentral describes it as "SAM riboswitch aptamer (S box leader)". It matches the Rfam family "SAM riboswitch aptamer (S box leader)". From Rfam's summary of the family: The SAM riboswitch is found upstream of a number of genes which code for proteins involved in methionine or cysteine biosynthesis in Gram-positive bacteria. The SAM riboswitch acts at the level of transcription termination control. The record is from Rfam by way of RNAcentral. Lineage: Bacteria; Pseudomonadati; Pseudomonadota; Gammaproteobacteria; Lysobacterales; Lysobacteraceae. RNAcentral also lists the same sequence under 1 other name.
CAUCCAUCGAGACCGGCGGAGGGACAGGCCCUUUGAUGCCGGGGCAACCUGAUGGGAUCCGCGCACCGUGCGGACCCCCGUCGCGGUGCCAAGUCCUGCGGGGACCUGCGCGUCCACCGGAAGAUGGUCA